CAGCGUCUAGUCCAUCUCCAACCCCCUUCAUCCCCAGCCGAGCCGCCAAGCACAAGCACGCAGGUGUCGCCGUCGUGCGGAUCCACGGUGGUCGCCGACGCAAAGCUGGCGGAGGGAGGGAGGGGAGGCGCCUAGCUCGGUCGGUUGCGCUUAGGGCCUACGGGCGCCGGAGCGGAGCCUCGCUGACGGCAACCUCGCAGAUGCAGCGCGCCGCCGCGUUGCUCUGCCGGUUCUUGGAAAUCCCCGAUGAACUUCAGCGAAGACUGGAGAAGCGGCGGGCAAAUCAUUGGCAAUGGAACACUAUAUGCUCUUUUUAUCCUGGUCAGUUAUGAUGAGAAUCACAACUCCAUGCUUCAGUAAUCUUUCAAGGUACAUGUAAGCAUGUUUGUCUGUACAUUUGCUCCUCUGGUUGGUUUCCUCAGAACAUAAUCAGUCUCCUUGAUUCCCAUGUAAUUAGAGUGAAGUCUCCUUUCGGUCUAACACUAGGAUCUGCUAGAAUUUCCCCCAAUGUCACCCUUAGCGAUUCCUCCUUGAUUGAAACAUCAAUUGUAUGAUGUGUCGUGCUAAGUGGACACAAAGCAAAGUCUGUUAUGUCCAGUGGAUGCCCUUGCUGUAUGGCCUAUUGGUUUCUGUUAGCAUAUCUUCUCCCCUUGUCCAAUAUGCAACGCCAAAACUGAACAUUGAGAUUCUUUCUCAACACAUCUGCGUACAAAUUUGUUGCGACAAUUGAACCUUCCAUAUUCUGCAACACCUUGACGAAUUCAUCUGCUAUUUGUACUAGCCAUGGAUGUUCUGCACGGUCUACACUUCCGAAUGCCAGCUUCUUGAAAAGGUACCUCAACUCGUCGUCAGACAGAAGGCUUAGGAAAAUUGGUUUCACUGAUCCAAACCGGGCUAAUCUUUUAAGUUUACUUAUGAUGAUGAUCUUCCUUCCUCUGCCCAUUGUUAUGACAAAUGAGUGAAACCUUUUCCAGUCAUCGUCACUUACAUCAGAAGCAAACUCAAUAACUAUCAAGAUCAUCCCUUCCAUGGUCCUUCCAUGGUCAAGUAUUCUCAAAAGGUUGUCUCCAUUCAAGUGCAGUACAGAGGAGAAGCUCGAGCGAACCCUUUCGUCGCCGCACAUAUGAGCAACCAAAGAUUUCUUCCCCGUUGUGGCAUCACCUAUGAUCGGAAGAACUGCCAGAGUAUGAUCUCCAGGAGGGCCUUUACGCUGCAACAAGAAGCUCAAGAGCUUUUGCUUUUCAGCGUGUCGGGCAAACAUGAAGUUGUCGGUGUAAAGAUAAACAUCAUAUGGCCUACGAGACAUACGCUCAAAUCCACCCAGAAGCACAGCAAAUUCUGCCAUGUUAGCAACAGCAAUUUCUAACCUUUCCAAGGCACCAUGUGACUCGAGGCACGUGGCCAUAUCAUUUGUUAUUCGUGAGCGCUUGGCUAUAUAUAAGUUGUUCCUAGAUGAGUCGUUGAUUCUAACCUCAUCGAAGCCGGCACUGUCUUGGAGGGCAUGGUACCUUGAGUUGUCCAGCACACGGUAUCCUCGGUACAUGGCCUCUGAGAGCGUCUUAAGCUGCAUCAUCAUCCCGGAGUUGGUUAUAUAUCGCGCGUCUGCCUCCUCAACGAUGGUGCCAGCUCUCAUCAGGAGGUGCUGCAACCUCUCCACCGCCUUCUCCUCCUCUGACCAGGCAUGGCUGAAGGAGUUGUACUUGUUCAUCAGGAAGGAGAUGAACUGGCUCACGAGUUCACCUGCAACUGCAGAUAUGGCAGUCUCCAUGGCUGGGAUUGAUGAGGUAAGCUGCUGGUUGGUCUCUGGACAAAUUAAAUUUGGCCUCUGCCAAGUCUUGUGGAGAUUCUUGGCAAAAUAGAAAAGUCUCCAUGGAUGACUUGGACUGUGACUGUGGACGGGUGACACACGGAUACUUGUCUAAAUGUCCAAACAUGUGACAAGGACAACCGAACUGCCAAAGCAGCAUCAUUCUUUUACCAGUAUUUCUAAUAUUCACGGUAGGUCCAAAUUGAUUAUUAUUCCAUUGCAAAAUGUAUAUUUAAUUUAUUUGGAUUUGUCUACCAUUGGAUUCCUUUUUCCAUUUUACAUAUGCGGCAAUGGCAUCCCACAUGUGUAGUGUACUAUUGCAACGUUUGACCAUGGAAACUGUUUGAGUUUUCGUAGAUGAACUUCAGUGAAGAAGCAGCGCCACAGCUCAUUGACAAGGAAAUUAUGAACUUUGGUGGAGAAGCAGCACCGCAACUCAUCGGCAAGGGACGAUAUGCGCCCUUUUAUCUUGUUUUGGAGGGCUAACCUCGUCGAAGCCUGCACUGUCUUGGAGGACUCGGUACCUUGAGGUAUCGAGCAGAUGUGACCUCGGUACAUGUCCUCUGAGAGGAUCUUGAGCUGCAUCAUCAUCCCAUAGUUGGUUAGGUAUCGGGUACCCGCCUCCUGGAUGACGGUGCCAACUCUCAUCAGGAGAAGCUGCAACCUCUCCACCACCUUCUGCUCCUCUGAUUGUGCAUGGAUGGACGAGCGGUACUUGUUCAUCAGGAAGGAGAUGAGGUUUGCUGCCAGUUGGUCUGUGGACAAAUUUGACUAGGCUGGCCUCUGCCAAGUCUUGAAGAGACUCCUGGCAAAAUAGACAACUGUCCAAGCAGGAUGAGAAAAAGACUGACCCACCAGUAUUUGUAAUAUUCACGAUGAACUUCAGAGGAGACUGGAGAAGAGGCGGGUAAAUCAUCUGCAAAGGAAUACGAUACAGGCCCUUUUUAUCUUGGUCAGUGACGACGAGAAUCACAACUCCAUACUUCUUCAGUAAUCUUUCAAGGGACUAGAGCAAUCACAGAAGCCCGAGACAUUCUGAAAUGGACCAAAAGUGCGUCGUCGUUGUAGCCCAAAACCCAACAUGAUGACCUCAGAGAGGGCCGCGCGGCCCAAGGUAAGUUCUUUGCCAAUGAGGCCCAAAAAGGGUGGCUUUUCUGCUCAUUUUCAGACAAGAGCUGUAAACCCGAACGUUGAUGGCUUUUUUUUUUUUUUUUUUGCGAAUCUGAACGUUGAUG
RNA transcript from Triticum aestivum (bread wheat), 3042 nucleotides. RefSeq lists it as uncharacterized. The transcript is spliced from 6 exons. The record is from RefSeq and is a predicted model, not a curated record. Lineage: Eukaryota; Viridiplantae; Streptophyta; Magnoliopsida; Poales; Poaceae.